This 457-nucleotide ribosomal RNA is filed under the name uncultured bacterium. Its description in RNAcentral is "bacterial SSU rRNA". It matches the Rfam family "Bacterial small subunit ribosomal RNA", at positions 28 to 485 of the family's 1533-position model. The record is from RNAcentral.
GACGAACGCUGGCGGCGUGCCUAACACAUGCAAGUCAACUUGACUGAAGGAGCAAUCUGACAGUAGAGUGGCGCAAGGGUGCGUAACGCGUAAGUAACUUGCCCCAAGGUAAGGAAUAACGUCGAGAAAUCGGCGCUAAUACCUCAUAAUGCAGCGGAUCCGCAUGGAUAUGUUGUUAAAGGUUUACCGCCUUGGGAUAGGCUUGCGUCUGAUUAGCUAGUUGGUGUGGUAACGGCACACCAAGGCUACGAUCAGUAACUGGUCUGAGAGGAUGAUCAGUCACACUGGAACUGAGACACGGUCCAGACUCCUACGGGAGGCAGCAGUGAGGAAUAUUGGGCAAUGCUCGAAAGAGUGACCCAGCAACGCCGCGUGGAGGAUGGAGGGUAUUCUAUAUUGUAAACUCCUGUGAGAGCAGACGAAGACAGAUUAUAAUCUGGAUGACUGUAUGCUCAGA